Molecule: non-coding RNA, 73 nt
Organism: Ailuropoda melanoleuca (giant panda)
Lineage: Eukaryota; Metazoa; Chordata; Mammalia; Carnivora; Ursidae
Source: Rfam
GCCUGGCUGGCUCAAUUGGUAGAGCAUGCAACUCUUGAUCUCAGGGUCAUGAGUUCAAACCCCAUGUGUGGCA